UACGGAGGGUGCAAGCGUUAUCCGGAUUUAUUGGGUUUAAAGGGUACGUAGGCGGUGAAAUAAGUCAGUGGUCGAAAUCCAGCAGCUUAACUGUUGAUGUGCCAUUGAUACUGUUUUUCUAGAGUGAUGAUGAGGUGGGUGGAAUUCCAUGUGUAACGGUGAAAUGCUUAGAUAUAUGGAGGAACACCCGAUAACGAAGGUAGCUCACUAAUUUUUCACUGACGCUGAGGUACGAAAGCGUGGGGAUCAAACGGG
Molecule: ribosomal RNA, 255 nt
Filed under: uncultured bacterium
Lineage: Bacteria
Description: partial 16S ribosomal RNA
Rfam family: Bacterial small subunit ribosomal RNA
Source: RNAcentral